Molecule: small nucleolar RNA, 226 nt
Organism: Abrus precatorius (Indian licorice)
Lineage: Eukaryota; Viridiplantae; Streptophyta; Magnoliopsida; Fabales; Fabaceae
Product: small nucleolar RNA U3
Exons: 1
Source: RefSeq, a predicted model, not a curated record
ACGACCUUACUUGAACAGGAUCUGUUCUAUAGGCUCGUACUUCUGUUUCCUUGAGUUCUAAGGAGACAGGAACCUACGUCUGGUGGAUGAAUCAUGACCGAUUGAUCAGAGCGUGAUUAACGGCUCGGUGAACUCUCUCUGAGGAGGAAGCUCACCUUGGGCUGUGGAGGAUCGUUCUCAAGCAGUUUCGAUUGCCUGGGAUGGUCAUUCGGUUGUCUGACAGACC